RNAcentral lists this ribosomal RNA (468 nucleotides) under uncultured bacterium. RNAcentral's name for it is "partial 16S ribosomal RNA". It matches the Rfam family "Bacterial small subunit ribosomal RNA", at positions 28 to 507 of the family's 1533-position model. The record is from RNAcentral.
GACGAACGCUGGCGGCGUGCUUAACACAUGCAAGUCGAACGGAAAGGCCCUGCUUUUGUGGGGUGCUCGAGUGGCGAACGGGUGAGUAACACGUGAGUAACCUGCCCUUGACUUUGGGAUAACUUCAGGAAACUGGGGCUAAUACCGGAUAGGAGCUCCUGCUGCAUGGUGGGGGUUGGAAAGUUUCGGCUGUUGGGGAUGGACUCGCGGCUUAUCAGCUUGUUGGGGGGGUAGUGGCUUACCAAGGCUUUGACGGGUGGGCGGCCUGAGAGGGGGACCGGCGACAAUGGGACUGAGAUACGGCGCAGACUGCUACGGGAGGCAGCGGGGGAGAAUAUGACGCAGUGGGGGGAAGCCUGAGACAGAGACGCCGCGUGCGGGAUAACGGCCUUCGGGUGAUGAACCGCUUUCGCCUGAGACGAAGCGUGAGUGACGGUAAUGGAUAAAGAAGCACCGGCUAACUACGUG